This 606-nucleotide small RNA is filed under the name Vigna angularis var. angularis. RNAcentral's name for it is "Non-protein coding transcript". Lineage: Eukaryota; Viridiplantae; Streptophyta; Magnoliopsida; Fabales; Fabaceae. The record is from RNAcentral.
UGGGAUCUCUAACUAACAUUUUGGUUUUUAACCAAGCCAAAGGGUGUUCUGUGAUUCGUGUAGCUGAUAUCAUCUAUCUAGUGGGAUAACAUUUCAUUGUUUAAUAAUACAAAACGAUUUUGAAAUUACUGAGGAUGUUAUUGAUUGCAAAGUACCUAUCAAACCUACAGCCAAAUUUAUUGUACUAUAGUAUAUCCAGCUAUACUACACGAGAGAAAGGUUGGGUAACACAUGAUAAUGUUACAAUGGAUGUGUAGCUAUACAAGCAACUAUGAAAUAUGGAGUGAUUAUAUAUAAGAAAAUUUUUUGUGUAGCACCAAUUGAAGAAAAUGGACAAUCCUUAAAGGUAGUUUGAACACAGAAUUGUCAAAUUGUAGGUUUUAUAGUCCCAUGAAAAGUAGCGGGAGACAAAUAAAGAGCGUUGGAGUAAGUCAUCAAGGAAGAUCUCACGCUAAACAAUAUUUUUGUACUCUUGUGUUUUAAUCGUGCUGAAAUGAUUUAGUGUGAUUCAUGUAGUCAACAUCACUUAAGUGGGAUAAAGGGUUGUACUUAGAAGAAAGGGCACUGCAAAAAAAAUCUAGAAAACCUUUAUUUCAUGGAACGUUG